Non-coding RNA from Anas platyrhynchos (mallard), 1432 nucleotides. The record is from RefSeq and is a predicted model, not a curated record. NCBI's taxonomy places the organism in Eukaryota, Metazoa, Chordata, Aves, Anseriformes, Anatidae.
AGCUGCACCUUCCUGCCCAAUCAGCCAGGCCUUAUCUCCCUGAUCCCACACCCCACAGCUCCUUUGGCUCCUGUUCCUCAGUGUGCUGCCCUGCUGCUGCUGCUCCCAGCAGGCAGUGAAGCCCAGUGUGCCCAGCUCUGCUAGAGAAAGCCAUCGCCACCAAAGUGCCCAACAGGAUCCAGGGCUGCUGUGUGCCGGGGGUUUUGCCGUGCUUGCCCUGCCAGGUCCUGCAGCCCCAGAGGGAUGCAGCGAGCUCUGCUCCCGGCGCUGCGGCAGACGGGAAGGAGAUUCCAAGCAUGUUAAUCAGCGGAGCUGCUGACCUUAUCCCUUCUGCUGCAGGAAAACAUUUUCUAUUGCUCCCUCUUAACAACGACACACUGCCUCCCUUGUUCAGUCACCGAGGAUCUCCACAGAGGCAGAGAAGAAAGCAAGAAAGCCCCAUCUUCUCCAUGAGCAGAGAUCCGCGGGGUCCUGCAUAUUCUGUGCCGAGGCCUCCUUUGGGGAAACUUUGUGGUGCCCGAGUCCCAGCUGCUGCUGCGGGAUGCUGUGGGUGCUGGAGAGCUGCCAGCUCCAGCAGCCCUGGCUCUGGCCCCGCGGCCCCGGGCGCUGCCCCGGCGUGACGCCCAGGCAGUGCAGGGGAUGCUCCAGCACUGCUGACCCAGCCUCCAGGGAGUCGCUCGCCUGCCUGCCCACCCACAGCCCGGGCAUGCAAAGAGGGUGAGAGCUUCCACGCCUUGGACCCAGGGCCCGAAGCUGUGUUAUCCGUCGCCUUGCCUUCCUGUUCCCCAGGGAGCUAGGCAGAUAGCCGCCUGGCUUAUGCACACAAAGCCUUUAAAACACACAGACAGCUGCUGGCAGGAAAACAGCGUUUGUCUGUAUGAAUUCACUGAUAAAAAGCUAAGUCUUUUCUAAGGUCAUGGGCAGCGGAGUUGUCAUGUCACAUCCUACUAUUUAUUCCUCCACAGCAGCCCUUCACUUUCUGAACAUGCAGAGCAGCAAUGCCUCUUUCCAAUAAAUUAGCUCUGCUCACCAGCAUUGCUUGGUAGCAGCAACAGCCAGCAGGCCAGGCUCCAGCAGCAGGAGCACGAAGAGCAGCAGCACAUGAUCAAAUGGUGCGGUGAUACCCGGGCAGCCUGUGGUGCUUUGCUCUCACUGAACUGUGGGAGUUGCUGCCUGUGCAGCUCAGCAGUCAGCAAGGCCUAAUCAAAAGCUAGGAGGUGGAAUGAAUAAUUAGAAAAUUGUCUUCAUAUUUAGUUUCCAAGACCAGAAUUACUCGCCUUGCCUGGGGUCUGUGGAUGUUUGACAGGGAUCAUGGGUGUUUCAUGGGAUCAUGGACACAAUUUUCUUCCUCCGAGGCAGAAAAUAGCCAGAUAAAACAAACAAAAGAUACUGCUUGCGUUGAUUCAUGAGGAAACAAUUUCCCUUCUACUUU